Long non-coding RNA from Rosa rugosa (rugosa rose), 1026 nucleotides. RefSeq lists it as uncharacterized. The transcript is spliced from 5 exons. The record is from RefSeq and is a predicted model, not a curated record. Lineage: Eukaryota; Viridiplantae; Streptophyta; Magnoliopsida; Rosales; Rosaceae.
UAUAUAUUAAGUGUGUGGUGUUUUGUAAAUUUUCUUAUUAUUUCCUAUUGUAUUGAACAAGUUCUCUUGUAGCCUGUAGGAUAUAUAAUCACGACUCAUGGCCAGAUGCAAUUUUUCAGACCUGAGCUGUUACAGUGGAAGAGCAAUACAAGUUUAUGACUUGAAUUAUUGAUGAAGGUGGUGACUUAGUGGUGGAGGUUGUGUACGUACUUUGCUGGAUUAAUUGCAGGGACAUGCCUCCAUGUAUGGUGGCAAGCAGCUUAAAGAUCUAGCCUCCAAUGAUGCACUGCCGCUGACAAAUUUGGAAUUUUCAUGAUAGAUCUUGUAUCAGACUCGGAGAUGGCACAGAGGUAAGAGUUCGAGAUGAGCGUCGCAGGAUCUGGAGAGGUGGAGCCUUUGAUCAGUCAGAUCCUUGGAAAGAUUGACAGGUUCACGGAGAUUGUGAGUGUUUUCGGUUCUUGUGGAUCCGCAGUUUUGAUUUGUUGAGUUCAUGUGAUGUUUGGAAGGCUGAAGAAAGGAUGAAGAAUCUGAUAUAAGGGCAAUGACAGGGAUAGAGUUGUUGAGGCACUACUUCCAGAACACUCAAGGUCUUAUUUUUGUGGUUGAUUGCAAUGACAUGGAUCGAGUUGUUGAGGCAAGGGAUGAGUUGCACAGGAUGUUGAAUUAGCUUUAGGUUUUCAAACAACAAAAAUGAUCUAAUUGGAUUACUUCAGCGAUUCUAGUUCAGUCAAAGACCACAAACCAAGCUUCGACGAUGUUCAGAGAAACCAAGACGUCCUUAUGAGAAGGAACAUUUGGAUGUUGAGCUGAAGCUUGUUAGAGAAUAUGGGCUUCGGUGCAAGAGGGAGUUGUGGAGGGUCCAGUAUAUGCUUUGACCGCAUCCGUAAUGCUGCUAUGGAACUUUUACCCUGGACAAGAAAAAUUCUCGCCGUAUCUUUAGACCCAGUUGUGGUUAUAUUUUAUUUUGUUCAAUGUGCUUAUGGGAGGUUGUUCUAAUUGGAAAAAGUGUUGUGGUUGUACUUUGAC